GACGAACGCUGGCUGCGUGCUUAACACAUGCAAGUCGAGGGACCGGCGCCCGGGAGAGUAACACGUAUCCAACCUGCCCUUUACUAGGGGAUAGCCUUUCGAAAGAAAGAUUAAUACCCGAUAUAACGGAAGGGGAGGCGUUCCAUUCGGUUGUUGGUGAGGUACCGGCCGACAAAGCCGUCGAUGGAUAGGGGUUCUGAGAGGAAGGGCACACAGAUUGGAACUGAGACACGGUCCAAACUCCUACGGGAGGCAGCAGUGAGGAAUAUGUGUCAAUGGGCGGUAGCCUUAACCAGCCAAGUAGCGUUAAGGAUGAAGGCUGAUGGGUCGUAAACUUCUUUUAGAUAAGAAUAUGUAUUAUAUGAAUAAGGAUCGGCUAACUCCGUGCCAGCAGCCGCGGUAAUAC
This 406-nucleotide ribosomal RNA is filed under the name uncultured bacterium. RNAcentral's name for it is "partial 16S ribosomal RNA". It matches the Rfam family "Bacterial small subunit ribosomal RNA", at positions 28 to 526 of the family's 1533-position model. The record is from RNAcentral.